CCUGGGGGUAGUCUGCCUUGGGAAAGUCCCAUAGUGUCCUGCCUUGUUCAACUUAAAGUAGCCUCCUCUCCCACCUUGCAUCCCUUGAAAUACUUGAAGAGAGCCACUAGGUUCCACUCUAUGUCUGUUCAUUUUCAUGUGACACACACUCUGGCCCUCAGUGAAUCAUUUGCAUAAAGUGGUUUCUAGACUCUUCAUCACGAAACCUGGUUCCUGAAUCGAUGCUAGUUGGCUGACAGUUGCUACUGGGAACCCUAUAUACAUAGGAUACAAUGCUUCCUGCAACUGAAAGCACCUUCCUGCACAUAAGAACCUUCUAUUCCUUCAUUCAUGGAUCCCCGGGUCCCGGAGACAGCGGCUACACCACACAGGGCAGACGACCCGACUCCGACUGAACAGGUACGGCUGAAAGAGACCUCACGUGCCCUGGGUGGCACUGCACUGACCGACAGCUCUCAUCCCACAUUUGCCUGAACCCAGAGAAUGACAACGCCAAGAGCGAGCCCUGCUGCAGACCGUGGACUCUGGUCGUCUGGGUAGGUUCUGAGUGUGUGUGUGUGUGGGGGGGGGGGCGCGUUGGUAAUGGGGAGACUGUGCGAGCGGGGACAUGGGUGGACUUUAUUGGGAACCCCUGGACUUUCCUGUCCAUGUUGCUGUGAACCUUCAACUGCACCAAAAACUAAAAUCUAUUAAAAAAUACGUUAUAACCGCCACUUAGGAUAAUGCAGAUUUUCUUGCUCUUUCCAGAACCUCCAGAGACAGCUGUAAGAAAAUGAAUUGACUUUUGCUCAAAACACAGAAAUCCUCAGAACCAAAAAUAAUCCCAGGAAGGAAAUAAAAUACAAGACACGCAGAACUCCGCA
This 863-nucleotide long non-coding RNA is filed under the name Sus scrofa (pig). RNAcentral describes it as "lncRNA (ENSSSCG00055001550.1)". The record is from RNAcentral. Lineage: Eukaryota; Metazoa; Chordata; Mammalia; Artiodactyla; Suidae.